Molecule: ribosomal RNA, 274 nt
Filed under: uncultured bacterium
Lineage: Bacteria
Description: partial 16S ribosomal RNA
Rfam family: Bacterial small subunit ribosomal RNA
Source: RNAcentral
AUACGGAGGGGGCUAGCGUUGUUCGGAAUUACUGGGCGUAAAGCGCGCGUAGGCGGACCAGUCAGUCAGGUGUGAAAUCCCGGGGCUCAACCCCGGAACUGCCUUUGAUACUGCUGGUCUUGAGUUCGAGAGAGGUGAGUGGAAUUCCGAGUGUAGAGGUGAAAUUCGUAGAUAUUCGGAGGAACACCAGUGGCGAAGGCGGCUCACUGGCUCGAUACUGACGCUGAGGUGCGAAAGCGUGGGGAGCAAACAGGAUUAGAAACCCUAGUAGUCC